GAUGAACGCUAGCGGCAGACUUAACACAUGCAAGUCGAGGGGUAUUGGUUUUCGGACCAAGAGACCGGCGCACGGGUGCGUAACGCGUAUGCAAUCUACCUUUUGCAGAGGGAUAGCCCCAGAGAAAUUUGGAUUAAUACCUCAUAGUAUAGUACCUUGGCAUCAAGGAACUAUUAAAGUCACAACGGCAAAAGAUGAGCAUGCGUCCAUUAGCUAGUUGGUAAGGUAACGGCUUACCAAGGCUACGAUGGGUAGGGGUCCUGAGAGGGAGAUCCCCCACACUGGUACUGAGACACGGACCAGACUCCUACGGGAGGCAGCAGUGAGGAAUAUUGGACAAUGGGCGCAAGCCUGAUCCAGCCAUGCCGCGUGCAGGAUGACGGUCCUAUGGAUUGUAAACUGCUUUUAUACAGGAAGAAACACUCCGACGUGUCGGAGCUUGACGGUACUGUAAGAAUAAGGAUCGGCUAACUCCGUGCCAGCAG
Molecule: ribosomal RNA, 485 nt
Filed under: uncultured bacterium
Lineage: Bacteria
Description: bacterial SSU rRNA
Rfam family: Bacterial small subunit ribosomal RNA
Source: RNAcentral